This is a long non-coding RNA of Gorilla gorilla gorilla (western lowland gorilla), 2469 nucleotides long. RefSeq lists it as uncharacterized. The record is from RefSeq and is a predicted model, not a curated record. The transcript is spliced from 4 exons. NCBI's taxonomy places the organism in Eukaryota, Metazoa, Chordata, Mammalia, Primates, Hominidae.
UCGUACCUGCCUCCCGAAGUGGCUGGCUGUUUCCAUCGGCGUCACCGAUAGGGCCUCUGAAAUAAUACGCUGUCGUACCUGACUCCCGAAGGAGCUGGCUGUUUCUAUCGGCGUCACUGAUAGGGCCUCUGAAAUACGUUGUCGUACCUGCCUCCUUGCUACAUUUCUCUGGAGACACCAAGGCAGGGCAGCAGCGCUGGCUUCAUUUCCACUCAGCAGAGGGUGGUGCUCAUUCCACAUCCUUAGGACUAUUUAGCUGAUUCUGAGCGCCUGUCCUUGGGAAUGGUGGAUGAGGACAGAGGGCUCUUGGCUUUCUAAACAUUUCCUGACCUGCUGGCCCAAGCCUGAAGCUCACAGUGGCAACAUCAACUUUAAUCUGGGCCCUGGGCUCCUAAAACCAAUUGAAGACCAAGGAGUGGAGAUUCUUAAAUUGGAGACCCCCAGAGGCGGACCCAAAUUAGAAAUAAUUUAUAUCAACCCUCCCAUUUGAGAGGACAAAACUGAGGCCUCUGGUGAGAAGGUUUCCGAGAGGGAGCAGCAGGGGCGUGGCGCCCGUUUCCCCGCCCGAUAGCCCCCCGACCCGUGGCCCCAUUACAGCACGUGGGCGGCGAUCCAGCAGGAGGAGGCGCAGAUCCACAGGCCGAAGGAGAUGCAGACGCGGUGGCGGGCGAAGCAGCGGUCCAGGAGUCGCUGGUGUUGAUGCUGAAAAGUUACAGGAUCUCUUCCAGGAGGAGGAUGGCAGUACAGCAGCUUACCCUACAAAGACAACAUGAAUGACAACAGUGCAACCUAAGUGCCAUCUGUGGCCUCAGAGGAGACAGUUCCACCCAGUCACACUCUGAUGGAGCUUUCUGCCUUCUGGUUAAGUUAGCUGAGUUGAGUUUUGGUCUACUGCAGCUGAAGAGUCCUUUUUCUAAUACAUCAAUGGUCAAAGUGUUCUAGAGACCUAGCUCUUCCCAUGGCGCCCCAGACUAGGAUGAAAUCUCUUUCUUCUUCUCUCGUUUGCAUUCCCACUCAAGUAUUCUUCAGUAUACGGACAUGAUCACACUUAUGGUGAAUAUUUUCCAAAACAAAACUCAAGACAUAACUGGACAGUUACGGUAAUGCCGGGAUAGACUGUUAAAGUCAGGAGAGUUCCUCGACUCCUGUAUGUGGGGUUGCAGUUGCUCACUGGGUGCAAGUCUGCCUCUUUCCAUCAUAAAUGAUCUGAAGGCUGUGACUACUUUUACCUCAUCUUUACAUCCUCCACACCCCAAGAUGCUGGGAUUCUCCCUAUUAAGCAUCUGGAACAUUUACAGCAUAAGCUGGCAAGGAUCACAGGGUGCCCAAAGAACACUGGGCUGAAGUCUCAAGACAACAUUAACAUCUCUCUCAUUCUGCUGUCUCGGUACUUCACACGGCAGGAAAAGCUGAACUGAAAGGAGAUUGGAGAAUACAUUCAAUGUGAAUAGGUAUGUUACCAACAUAGGCCUUGAGGAAGUUGAUUCCUUUGAGUUGGGCUCUGUCUAUUCCACUGCCUAAUCCCGUGAUGCCAGUGGGCAACAAGAGGGCAAUGUUCCCUAUGAUGCCGGAAGCCUGGUUGGUCUUUGGGGUCGUGCAGCUACUGAAAAAUGGGGAUUAAAGACAAUCAUGUGGUAACAAUGUUACGACAUAUGUCAUCUUACCAGUCCGACCGUAAGUUGCCCAUCUUUCACCUUUCUCCCGGUGUGUAGCUCCUUAAAGAGCUCCAGUAACUCCUGCUUGGAUACCAGAUGGCUAAAAUUGUGUAUCUGCCUCUUCUGUGGGGUUUUCCUGCUCCGAGCCUCAGAAUCUGCAGUAGAGCUUUCCUUCCGGUCCUGGCCGCAGUCCUCUUCCUCGGGACCGUCUUCUUCUGAGCACGUCUGCCAGUCGUCUUCCUCCUCCUCGGGACAGUCCUCAUACUCACUGUCAUCUUCAUCCGUUGUGGGAUUUUCACUAAGUGAAGGAGAAUCCCUAGCUGGGAGAUGUUCAGUCUCACUGUGGGAAAUUUCAGCCUCGUUGAAACUGGAGUGUCCAAACUCGGUUGUGUUGCUCUGUCUAUCAUCUCUGUUUGCCUCUUCCUGAUAAAAUAAUAGAAACGCUCAGAAGUAUAUAACUGCAGUUUCCACUCUAGUAAAAAUACUUAAUGAGUUGUAAGAUGGACAGAGGAUGGCUGGGCGUGGUGGCUCAAGCCUGUAAUCCCAGCACUUUGGGAGGCCAAGGUGCGCAGAUCAUUUGAGGUCAGGAGUUUGAGACCAGCCUGACCAACAUGGUGAAACCCCGCCUCUACUAAAAAUACAAAAAUUAGCCAGGCGUGGUGGUGCACACCUGUAAUCCCAGCUACUUGGGAGGCUGAGGCAGAACUGCUUGAACCUGAGAGGCGGAGGGUGCAGUGAGCCGAGAUGGUGCCACUGCACUCCAGUCUGGGCAACAGACAAGGCUCUGUCUCACAAAAAAAAAAAAAAAAAAAAA